GACGAACGCUGGCGGCGUGCUUAACACAUGCAAGUCGAACGGAGUGGCGAACGGGUGAGUAACACGUGGGUGACCUGCCCUGCACUUCGGGAUAAGCGUGGGAAACUGGGUCUAAUACCGGGUAGUGGGGGAUGGGCCCGCGGCCUAUCAGCUUGUUGGUGGGGUAAUGGCCUACCAGGGCGGCGACGGGUAGCCGGGCUGAGAGGUUGGACGGCCACAUUGGGACCGAGAUACGGCGCAGACUCGUACGGGAGGCAGCAGUGGGGAAUAUUGCACAAUGGGCGGAAGCCUGAUGCAGCGAGGCCGCGGGGGGGAUGACGGACUUCGGGUUGUAAACUCAUUUCACCAUCGACGCGGUAGAUGGAGAAGAAGCACCGGCUAACUACGUGCCAGCAGCCGCGGUAAUUC
RNAcentral lists this ribosomal RNA (408 nucleotides) under uncultured bacterium. Its description in RNAcentral is "partial 16S ribosomal RNA". It matches the Rfam family "Bacterial small subunit ribosomal RNA", at positions 28 to 526 of the family's 1533-position model. The record is from RNAcentral.